This 230-nucleotide unclassified non-coding RNA is filed under the name Hevea brasiliensis (rubber tree). The record is from RNAcentral. Lineage: Eukaryota; Viridiplantae; Streptophyta; Magnoliopsida; Malpighiales; Euphorbiaceae.
UCACCAGGUGAGAAAUUGAAUUGAAUUGGACGAGAUCGUGAGAAGGAUGAGGAACAAUGACGAGAUCUAUAGAAGGUUCCAAACGAACAGAAGCCCAAAAAUUUCCGAGGCUGAAGGAUAUAGUGUUCCCAAAAUAAACAUCGCUAGGGUUUCCAAGCAGUCCAACUCUAGCGUAAGACUUGUGCUCGAUCACUGCCGCCAUUGUUGCUUAUUGUAGGUGUUACUGCAGA